RNAcentral lists this ribosomal RNA (478 nucleotides) under uncultured bacterium. RNAcentral's name for it is "partial 16S ribosomal RNA". It matches the Rfam family "Bacterial small subunit ribosomal RNA", at positions 28 to 507 of the family's 1533-position model. The record is from RNAcentral.
GAUGAACGCUGGCGGCGUGCUUAACACAUGCAAGUCGAACGAGAAUUGUGGACUGAACCCUUCUGGCGGAAUACUUUAUUUCGAGUUGCCGACUGGUUAGUAACGCGUGUGUAACCUGCCUCAUACAGGGUCAUAACAGUUGUAAAGCACUGUUACUACCUCAUAAUACCACAUCACUGCAUGGUUCGCUGGCAAAAACUCCGGUGGUAUGAGAUGGACACGCGCUCGAUUAGCCAGUAUACGCGGUAACUGCCCACCAAAGCGACGAUCGAUAGCCGAUCUGAGAGGAUGACCGGCCACAUUGCGACUGAGACACGGCCCAAACUCCUACGGGAGGCAGCAGUGGGGAAUAUUGCACAAUGGGGGAAACCCUGAUGCAGCGACGCCGCGUGAGUGAAGAAGUAUUUCGGUAUGUAAAGCUCUAUCAGAAGGGAAGACAAUGACGGUACCUGAGUAAGAAGCCCCGGCUAACUCCGUG